AGCCUUUGUUUAAUUGACUUAGAUUGGCUGUCUGCGUGAGCUCGUGAGGAGAGGAAGAAGAAGAGGGGAGGAUGAAGAGAAGAGACGUCUCGUAAACGGUUGACCUGGGGGAGGAGAGCAGUGAGAAGGGAACUGUAAAAGAUGGAAGUGGUCAAGGGUGAAUGAAAUGGGGUCAUGAGAUAAGACUUGAAGAUGUUAAAGUUAAGAGGAGGGAUUCAUACAAGGAUGGCGCCUGAUAAUGCACCAAAAUAAAUGUGACGUGACAUUGUAGAUGUGGCCGUGGUUCAGAUCCUACAACAGGCUCAAGUUAUAUCCUCUUCCAUUCAUCCGGUCUCCUUCCUCACCUGUCUGCGGGUCAUUUGCGACUUAUUUAAAACUUACUUUCUAGUGAAACAAAGAUUCUGCAGCCCCUUAAGUAUCAAGCCAAAGCCUGCUUAACCAUCAAUCCUUUUAUUUCCCAUCCUGAAUAUAAAUUAGUUUCCUCAUGUUUCAUUCCUUCAGUCUCUCUCUCAUUUUAUGUUUUUCGUCUCUUCUCAAACCAUGCCCACACAUGAAACCCUCAGUUCUGUUCAGGGACAGCGGGACACACCUUGCUUGACUUUCAAGUUGUCAUUCUUCAGUGUGUGUUUGUGUGUGUGUGUGCACGCGCGUGUGUGUACUUUCGCUACAUUUGGGUUUUUGCCAUCUUUUAAAAUGUAAAUGUGCAUAAAAAAAACUUGGAAACUUCUAAAGCCUGUUUGCUGUACCUCAUUAUGAAGAGGAUUAUUUUUAGAGUCAGGGACCAGCAAUUAUUUGUGUGUCUGCUCCGGUAGUACAUGCGCUUAAUUGUUGUCCCACACCGGCAGCAGAGAGGAGAGCUCAGCUCAAUUUGUGUCUGUGGGUUUUAUUUUCUCUCUCUUUCUCUCUCUUUUUCUUUUUUUUUUUUUUAAAUGGGCAGCAUCCAUGCUGUGCUUCCUCUUGUUAAACAUCAGCAGUCCAUCAGCAACACAAAUAACACUGGGAUGUGGAUGCAGAUACACACAGACAUUUUAUUCUCUCCAUUGUCUCAUCUCCUGCAAACAAAACAAAACAGAAACUCGACCCACUGUUGUAAAUUACUGUUGUAGUAAACUAUAAUUUAUUUCCUAACACUGACUGCAUGAUUCCCAGAAAAAUGUCAAAUAUACUGUAGCGGUGGAGCAACCGUUUUUAAAUAACAAUGACCUUCAUUGCAUUUUCACACUAUCUUAAAGGAAGAGUUGUACAUUUUUUGGUAACACGUGUAUUCACUAUCUUGUGUCUGAGAGCAGCAAAUAUGAAGUUGCCUUGUUCACUUAGCUUAGGCUCAGUGAAAUAAUAACAAAAU
Molecule: long non-coding RNA, 1345 nt
Organism: Mugil cephalus (flathead mullet)
Lineage: Eukaryota; Metazoa; Chordata; Actinopteri; Mugiliformes; Mugilidae
Exons: 3
Source: RefSeq, a predicted model, not a curated record